GUGCUCGCUUCAGCAGCACAUAAACUAACAUUGGAACGAAACAGAGAAGAUUAGCAUGGCCCCUGUGCAAGGAUGACACGCAAAUUUAUGAAGUGUUCCAUAUUUUU
Molecule: small nuclear RNA, 107 nt
Organism: Otolemur garnettii (small-eared galago)
Lineage: Eukaryota; Metazoa; Chordata; Mammalia; Primates; Galagidae
Source: Ensembl